This 500-nucleotide ribosomal RNA is filed under the name uncultured bacterium. RNAcentral's name for it is "partial 16S ribosomal RNA". It matches the Rfam family "Bacterial small subunit ribosomal RNA", at positions 30 to 523 of the family's 1533-position model. The record is from RNAcentral.
AUUGAACGCUGGCGGAAUGCUUUACACAUGCAAGUCGAACGGCAGCACGGACUUCGGUCUGGUGGCGAGUGGCGAACGGGUGAGUAAUGUAUCGGAACGUGCCCAGUCGUGGGGGAUAACGUAGCGAAAAUUACGCUAAUACCGCAUACGAUCUAUGGAUGAAAGCGGGGGAUCGCAAGACCUCGCGCGAUUGGAGCGGCCGAUAUCAGAUUAGGUAGUUGGUGGGGUAAAGGCCCACCAAGCCAACGAUCUGUAGCUGGUCUGAGAGGACGACCUGCCACACUGGAACUGAGACACGGUCCAGACUCCUACGGGAGGCAGCAGUGGGGAAUUUUGGACAAUGGGCGCAAGCCUGAUCCAGCCAUUCCGCGUGCAGGAUGAAGGCCCUCGGGUUGUAAACUGCUUUUGUACAGAACGAAAAGGUUUCUACUAAUACUAGGAGCUCAUGACGGUACUGUAAGAAUAAGCACCGGCUAACUACGUGCCAGCAGCCGCGGUAA